CUCCUGCUGCUUAAGUAUUUACAACUAUCUGUCUAUCUAUCUAUCUAUUUAUUCAUUUAUUUAUUUUUCUAUAAAUAAAUCGACUCGAGUUCUUUCUAAUUUUGGUGGGAAAAAAACACUAGCUGGCCAGCGCCCAGAGUACGCUUCCUAGAAAGAAGACUGAAAAGGGAAAUGGAGUGUGCGCAUGCGCACUGCCCAAUCAGAGCAUGCGGCAGGAGCAUUUAUCAGUUCCCGACAUUCCAGAAGGUCUUCCGUUGUUUUUGUGGAUUAAUCGGAUUUUAUUCUUCACCAUGCGCGCGAUCAUGAAGCUCCUCAUCUGCUGUGUGUUCAUGCUGUUCCUGGUGAACGUAGUUCCAGCUGCAGGUUCUACCACAGAACUCCUGUCAUGCUGCUUUCAGCAGCUUGGUAAUAGAUCAGUGGUGUACAUACUGAACAACACCGUGGAGUCCGAUUUCACACAGUGGACCAGAAACAAAAAUCAAGAAGUUCAAUGUACAGAUUUGUGUGAACCGGGAUCAGCUAACCUUCCGAUUGGAGAGAAGCAUGAGACAAAUCAGCGUGAUGGAGGUGACGGAGGUUUGUAUCACACGCAGAUAAACUUUGUUAUUUCUUGCAGCAGAUUGUUUUAGGAAUAGACAUAUGGUAUAUUUACAAAAAUUAUAUUUGUUGCCAGCGGUUUAGACAUUAAUGGCUGUGUGUUGAGUUAUUUUAAGGGGACAGCAAAUUUACACUGUUCCACAAGCUGUACACUCACUACUUUACAUUGUAGCAAAGUGUCAUGUCUUCAGUGUUGUCACAUGAAAAGAUAUUAUCAAAUAUUUAUAAAAAUG
Molecule: long non-coding RNA, 830 nt
Organism: Ictalurus punctatus (channel catfish)
Lineage: Eukaryota; Metazoa; Chordata; Actinopteri; Siluriformes; Ictaluridae
Source: Ensembl